This 221-nucleotide long non-coding RNA is filed under the name Mytilus galloprovincialis (Mediterranean mussel). Lineage: Eukaryota; Metazoa; Mollusca; Bivalvia; Mytilida; Mytilidae. The record is from RNAcentral.
AUAACUCGUACGAAGUUACAUAGUUCGUGUCAAAGAACAUAUAUGGACUUAUUCUUUUUGUUAUUAAGUUUUAUCCUUUACCUGUCUUAAAAAGUAUUUUAACACGUGACACAGGUAAAAUCUAUUUGUUCUUACUGUGCUAGAUAAUGCACAGCAAAGGUGUGCAUUAACUACCUCAGAUAUAGUGCACAGUUCAACAGUACUCUGACCCUAGAAGGCGG